GGAGGGAGCUAGCGUUGUUCAGAAUUACUGGGCGUAAAGCGUACGUAGGCGGUUAUUCAAGUUAGAGGUGAAAGCCCGGGGCUCAACCCCGGAACUGCCUUUGAAACUAGAUAGCUAGAAUCCUGGAGAGGUCAGUGGAAUUCCGAGUGUAGAGGUGAAAUUCGUAGAUAUUCGGAAGAACACCAGUGGCGAAGGCGACUGACUGGACAAGUAUUGACGCUGAGGUACGAAAGCGUGGGGAGCAAACAGGAUUAGAUACCCUGGUAGUCCACGCCGUAAACGAUUAUAACUAGUUGUUCGGGCACUUGGUGCCUGAGUGACGCAGCUAACGCAUUAAGUUAUCCGCCUGGGGAGUACGGUCGCAAGAUUA
RNAcentral lists this ribosomal RNA (370 nucleotides) under uncultured bacterium. Its description in RNAcentral is "bacterial SSU rRNA". It matches the Rfam family "Bacterial small subunit ribosomal RNA", at positions 527 to 896 of the family's 1533-position model. The record is from RNAcentral.